RNAcentral lists this ribosomal RNA (497 nucleotides) under uncultured bacterium. Its description in RNAcentral is "partial 16S ribosomal RNA". It matches the Rfam family "Bacterial small subunit ribosomal RNA", at positions 29 to 507 of the family's 1533-position model. The record is from RNAcentral.
ACGAACGCUGGCGGCGUGCCUAAUCCAUGCAGGUCGAGCGGACGGAUGGGAGCUUGCUCCCAGACCGUCAGCGGCGGACGGGUGAGUAACACGUGGGCAACCUGCCUGUAAGACUGGGAUAACUCCGGGAAACCGGGGCUAAUACCGGAUAACUCUUUCCCUCACAUGAGGGAAAGCUGAAAGAUGGCAUCUCGCUAUCACUUACAGAUGGGCCCGCGGCGCAUUAGCUAGUUGGUGAGGUAACGGCUCACCAAGGCGACGAUGCGUAGCCGACCUGAGAGGGUGAUCGGCCACACUGGGACUGAGACACGGCCCAGACUCCUACGGGAGGCAGCAGUAGGGAAUCUUCCGCAAUGGACGAAAGUCUGACGGAGCAACGCCGCGUGAGUGAUGAAGGUUUUCGGAUCGUAAAACUCUGUUGUCAGGGAAGAACAAGUACCGGAGUAACUGCCGGUACCUUGACGGUACCUGACCAGAAAGCCACGGCUAACUACGUG